RNAcentral lists this ribosomal RNA (494 nucleotides) under uncultured bacterium. RNAcentral's name for it is "partial 16S ribosomal RNA". It matches the Rfam family "Bacterial small subunit ribosomal RNA", at positions 28 to 507 of the family's 1533-position model. The record is from RNAcentral.
GACGAACGCUGGCGGCGUGCUUAACACAUGCAAGUCGAACGGUGAAGCGCCUUCCUUUUUGGUGGGUGUGGAUGAGUGGCGAACGGGUGAGUAACACGUGAGUAACCUGCCCCCUUCUUCUGGAUAACCGCAUGAAAGUGUGGCUAAUACGGGAUAUUCUGGGUCUGUCGCAUGAUGGGUCUGGGAAAGAUAUUGUUUCGGUGGGGGAUGGGCUCGCGGCCUAUCAGCUUGUUGGUGGGGUGAUGGCCUACCAAGGCGGUGACGGGUAGCCGGCCUGAGAGGGUGGACGGUCACACUGGGACUGAGACACGGCCCAGACUCCUACGGGAGGCAGCAGUGGGGAAUAUUGCACAAUGGGCGCUAGCCUGAUGCAGCGACGCCGCGUGAGGGAUGGAGGCCUGCGGGUUGUGAACCUCUUUCGCCAGUGAAGCAGGCCUGCCUCGUUUGUGGGUGGGUUGACGGUAGCUGGAUAAGAAGCGCCGGCUAACUACGUG